Molecule: ribosomal RNA, 133 nt
Filed under: uncultured bacterium
Lineage: Bacteria
Description: partial 16S ribosomal RNA
Source: RNAcentral
AGGUAACGUCACCCGAUGAAGGUAUUCGCUCCACCGAGCCUCUUCCCUACCGAAAGGGCUUUACAACCCGCAGGCCUUCUUCACCCACGCGGCAUUGCUGGAUCAGGGUUUCCCCCAUUGUCCAAUAUUCCCC